Long non-coding RNA from Drosophila mojavensis, 1682 nucleotides. RefSeq lists it as uncharacterized. Lineage: Eukaryota; Metazoa; Arthropoda; Insecta; Diptera; Drosophilidae. The record is from RefSeq and is a predicted model, not a curated record. The transcript has 4 exons.
CAGUUUUAAAAUGUAGGAAGCUUUGCCAAAAAAUGUUUUUAUUUUUCAGAAACGAAAUUUCAUCAUUGCUUCCCUUUUUUGUGUUGGCAAGGCGUCACGCAUUGAGAUUUCGUGCACGCCAUUUGCCUCAGUCGUGUGGACGGGAGAUGCGAGAUUCGAGAUGCGGAUGAUGUUCAUGUUUGUCGCCGACCUCGGGCAGAAGGGGAACAGAGCACGUGAGCUGGCAUACGGACAGGAUAGCCGAACGGACAGAGGAACUCCCUGGAUGGUCGAAAAAAUGACGCUGAGAUGAAAUACGAGGGCUGUUUAUCAGCUUUGCAAGAGCAGGCAGGCAGGCAGGCAGACAGACAGGCAGCCGUAGACCGAGUAUCCCUCGGUCACCAGGUUUAUCAUCAGCAGAGCUAUUAUUAUGACAUUGUAAUUACUUGUGGAUAUUUUACAGGCAGCUUCCGCUGCCCUGAAAUCUAGGUUGUCUCUUCGCUGGAAUUCUCAGUGCUUCUUCGACUGUGCCAUCCUUAUUUUGUAUGCCUGCUUGAUCCACCCGAGUAUCUGGUAAUCCCCAAAAACUAUUGUCGCGCAUGCUCCACAAGUUGCCUGCAUAUCAAGGAGCUAGGCACGCAAUUGGGCAGCCAUUUACGUUGCUUGAUUGGAAUUGCGUGGAGGGGGAGUGAAGGAGGGAUGUGCCUCUGUCGCAUUGUACUCGUGUGGCCCUGUUGGACGGUUUUCCCAUGCGAGAUCUUGAUUUUUUAUAAAAUUUAUUAAAAAUCAGCCACGUUCAUGAUCAUGAUCUUGAUCAUCAAUGUCUUCCUCUUCCGUACAAUCGAAACUUUCUCUCUUUCUCUAAUAUACAUAUGUAUAUGUAGGCCUCAAAGAAGAGUAUAAAGCACAUAAGACAAUCCAAAACAAAUUCUGAUGACAAUGCUCUAAGAGGAUCAAUAAAAUGGCUCGACUGUUCCUGACUGUUUCGGCGGUGAGGACGUGGCUCCCACUAAUCCCUAGCAAUUGAAGAGUGUACCUGGCCGGCACCAUAUACAGCCCGGAUGUAAACCGCCUACUGAAGAGAGAAGUCGCGGCAUACAGGCGGCGGCUCCGUCAGACUCGCCGGCUUUAGGAGCCAUGGUCGUCUCCUUAUCGCUCACGAGCCACGAUACGUGGUAAUCCAAUAAGGAGCAGGUAGAAUAGUCUCCGUAGUCAUAAUGUUGUAGUCAUAUAGUUCAUCUAGCAGUUGUAGAUAAGAUUUUUUUGUAGUCAUGCAAGUAGCCAUUUGUAGUCAUAUACAUAAGUUAUCUUUGGUAGCAGUUAAGUUAAAAGUUGUAAGUCACUAGUACGUAAAAGAAUAGUAGUUUAGUCAGUAGGAAGACUAGUACGUUAGCUAAACAAUGAAGUUGCCCUGCCCAGCGUGGUGAGAGCUCACGAGAGCGGAAAACACCCGCUGCGGUAGACUUGUGCUGCCGAAUACAGGAACGCUGCUCGAGUCCGCGAACAAUGAAUCGGACAUAGUUUUUCAACGUAGAAAAAAUGUACAUGAGAGACACGCCAACUUCGUAUUUGCUCGGCUCUGUCUAUGGUACGACAAACCAUUGUUUGGUCAGUGGUACUAUAUGAUGUAUAAUAUAACAAAUUGUUUGUGUAUAUUAGAUUUAAAUACUGUUAAUUAUAUAUAUUGUAAUUUGUAUUGUUAA